GCAAACUUGGUCAUUUAGAGGAAGUAAAAGUCGUAACAAGGUUUCCGUAGGUGAACCUGCGGAAGGAUCAUUAACGAGUUAGGGUCUCUCACGGCCCGACCUCCCAACCCUCUGUCUACUGAACCUUUUGUUGCUUCGGCGGGCCCGUCCCCCCUGGGGGACCGCCGGAGGACCGUCGAGAGACGUCCUCUGCGCCCGCGCCCGCCGACAGCCAACUCCAAAAACUCUUGCAUCAACCGUGAUCAUUGCCUAAGUUUUUAUCAAAUUUAAAUCAAAACUUUCAACAACGGAUCUCUUGGUUCUGGCAUCGAUGAAGAACGCAGC
Molecule: unclassified non-coding RNA, 324 nt
Filed under: uncultured fungus
Lineage: Eukaryota; Fungi
Description: partial contains small subunit ribosomal RNA, internal transcribed spacer 1, and 5.8S ribosomal RNA
Rfam family: Eukaryotic small subunit ribosomal RNA (bases 1-73)
Source: RNAcentral